Molecule: non-coding RNA, 65 nt
Organism: Dipodomys ordii (Ord's kangaroo rat)
Lineage: Eukaryota; Metazoa; Chordata; Mammalia; Rodentia; Heteromyidae
Source: Rfam
GGUGGCUCAGGGGUAGAGUGCUUGCCUAGCAUGCAUGAGGCCCUGGGUUCGAUUCCUCAGCACCA